RNAcentral lists this transfer RNA (67 nucleotides) under Ictidomys tridecemlineatus (thirteen-lined ground squirrel). RNAcentral describes it as "Spermophilus tridecemlineatus (thirteen-lined ground squirrel) tRNA". It matches the Rfam family "tRNA". From Rfam's summary of the family: Transfer RNA (tRNA) molecules are approximately 80 nucleotides in length. Their secondary structure includes four short double-helical elements and three loops (D, anti-codon, and T loops). Further hydrogen bonds mediate the characteristic L-shaped molecular structure. tRNAs have two regions of fundamental functional importance: the anti-codon, which is responsible for specific mRNA codon recognition, and the 3' end, to which the tRNAs corresponding amino acid is attached (by aminoacyl-tRNA synthetases). tRNAs cope with the degeneracy of the genetic code in two manners: having more than one tRNA (with a specific anti-codon) for a particular amino acid; and 'wobble' base-pairing, i.e. permitting non-standard base-pairing at the 3rd anti-codon position. The record is from Rfam by way of RNAcentral. Lineage: Eukaryota; Metazoa; Chordata; Mammalia; Rodentia; Sciuridae.
GGAGAUGUGGCUCAGUGGUAGAGUGCUUGCUUGGUAUGCAUGAGGCUGUGUUCAAUCCCCAGUACCA